GAUGAACGCUGGCGGCGUGCCUAAUACAUGCAAGUCGAGCGAACAGACGAGGAGCUUGCUCCUCUGACGUUAGCGGCGGACGGGUGAGUAACACGUGGAUAACCUACCUAUAAGACUGGGAUAACUUCGGGAAACCGGAGCUAAUACCGGAUAAUAUAUUGAACCGCAUGGUUCAAUAGUGAAAGACGGUUUUGCUGUCACUUAUAGAUGGAUCCGCGCCGCAUUAGCUAGUUGGUAAGGUAACGGCUUACCAAGGCAACGAUGCGUAGCCGACCUGAGAGGUGAAUCGCCCACCCGGGACUUGAGAACCGGCCCAGCAUCCUAGGGGAGGCAGCAGGGGGGAAUCUUCCGCAAUGGGCGAAAGCUUGACGGAGCAACGCGGCGGGGUUGAUGAAGGUUUGCGGAUCGUAAACUCUUUUUUUGAGGGAAAAAAAAAUUUGUAAGUAACUUUGCACGUUUGGGAGGUACCAAAUAAAAAAGCCCCGCAAAACUACGU
Molecule: ribosomal RNA, 496 nt
Filed under: uncultured bacterium
Lineage: Bacteria
Description: partial 16S ribosomal RNA
Rfam family: Bacterial small subunit ribosomal RNA
Source: RNAcentral